RNAcentral lists this ribosomal RNA (495 nucleotides) under uncultured bacterium. RNAcentral describes it as "partial 16S ribosomal RNA". It matches the Rfam family "Bacterial small subunit ribosomal RNA", at positions 28 to 507 of the family's 1533-position model. The record is from RNAcentral.
GACGAACGCUGGCGGCGUGCCUAAUACAUGCAAGUCGAACGCUGAAGGAGGAGCUUGCUUCUCUGGAUGAGUUGCGAACGGGUGAGUAACGCGUAGGUAACCUGCCUGGUAGCGGGGGAUAACUAUUGGAAACGAUAGCUAAUACCGCAUAAUAGUAGAUGUUGCAUGACAUUUGCUUAAAAGGUGCAAUUGCAUCACUACCAGAUGGACCUGCGUUGUAUUAGCUAGUUGGUGAGGUAACGGCUCACCAAGGCGACGAUACAUAGCCGACCUGAGAGGGGGAUCGGCCAAACUGGGACUGAGAAACGGCCCAGAAUCCUACGGGAGGCAGCAGUAGGGAAUCUUCGGAAAUGGACGGAAGUCUGACCGAGCAACGCCGCGUGAGGGAAGAAGGGUUUCGGAUCGUAAAGCUCUGUUGUAAGAGAAGAACGAGUGUGAGAGUGGAAAGUUCACACUGUGACGGUAUCUGACCAGAAAGGGACGGCUAACUACGUG